ACCCGCUGAACUUAAGCAUAUCAGUAAGCGGAGGAAAAGAAACUAACAAGGAUUACCUCAGUAGCGGCGAGUGAAGAGGUAAAAGCCCAAGAUGUAAAUCUGGUAUAAAGUACUAGAAUUGUAAUCUACAGGAAUUCUCAGAAGCACCAACCGGGUCAUAAGUGUCUUGGAAAAGACUACCAAAGAGGGUGAUAGUCCCGUCUUCGGACCUGGAAGGGCGUAUGAGGGUUUUCUAAGAGUCGGGUAGUUUGGGAAUGCUGCCCUAAUCAGGAGAUAAACUUCUUCUAAGGCUAAAUAUCUAUAGGAGACCGAUAGCAUACAAGUACUGCGAAGGAAAGAUGAAAAGAACUUUGAAAAGAGGGUUAAAAGAUUUGAAAUCGUUGAAAAGGAAGCGGUAGAAGAGAAAUUAACCAGCCGCAAAGCGGUCAAAAACAAAGGCGGUGGAGUAUCUAACAGAGCUUGCCGCUGGAGUUAAAAAGGCCAGUUUGCGGUCGGUGGACAAAAUGAGAUCGGGUUGGGAGAAUAAGGCGAGACGUGUAUUCGUCCGCUCGAAGUCUCAGCGCGGUCUGAGGGAUCUUAGGAUGAUUUUGUCAAAAUGGCUUUUACCGACCCGUCUUGAAACACGGACCAAGGAGUCUAUCCAUUAUGCGAGUGUGAGGGUGUAAAAACCUGAACGCGUACCGAAAGGGAGUAAAAGAUGUGAAGUGUAAUAGCUGCAACAUCGACCAACCCUGAUUCUCUGAUGAAGGGCAUGAGUAAGAGCAUAAUUGAUAGGACCCGAAAGAUGGUGAACUACACUUGAGUAGGGUGAAGCCAGGGGAAACUCUGGUGGAGGCUCGUAGCGGUACUGACGUGCAAAUCGUUCGUCAAACUUGCGUGUAGGGGCGAAAGACUAAUCGAACCUUCUAGUAGCUGGUUUCCUCUGAAAUUUCUCUCAGGAUAGCUGGAACAGUUUAUGCAGUUUUAUCAGGUAAAGCGAAUGAUUAGAGGAAUCGGGAUCCUGCGGGUCUUGACCUAUUCUCAAACUUUAAAUUGGUAAGAACUUCUGGUUAACUUAAUUGAACCAGGAGACGGAAUGCAUUGUUCUUAGUGGGCCAUUUUUGGUAAGCAGAACUGGCGAUGAGGGAUGAACCUAACGUUGAGAUAAGGUGCCUAAAUUCACGCUCAUCAGAUCCCAUAAAAGGUGUUAGUUAGUUUAGACAGAUGGACUGUGGCCAU
This 1218-nucleotide ribosomal RNA is filed under the name Pseudepistylis songi. RNAcentral describes it as "LSU rRNA". It matches the Rfam family "Eukaryotic large subunit ribosomal RNA", at positions 23 to 1255 of the family's 3401-position model. Lineage: Eukaryota; Ciliophora; Oligohymenophorea; Sessilida; Epistylidae. The record is from RNAcentral.